UGUGCUAUGCUGAUUGGGUGUCCACACUAAGUUCAGCAUUACUAUGGUGACCUCCUGAGAGCGGGGGACCACUAGGUUGCCUCAGGAGGGGCGAACCAAUCCAGGUUAGCAAUGAAUCAGGUCAAAACUCCCUUACUGAUCACAGUGGAAUCAAGCCUGUGAAAAACCA
RNAcentral lists this signal recognition particle RNA (169 nucleotides) under Otolemur garnettii (small-eared galago). RNAcentral describes it as "Metazoan signal recognition particle RNA". It matches the Rfam family "Metazoan signal recognition particle RNA", at positions 89 to 258 of the family's 299-position model. Rfam says of the family: The signal recognition particle (SRP) is a universally conserved ribonucleoprotein. It is involved in the co-translational targeting of proteins to membranes. The record is from Rfam by way of RNAcentral. Lineage: Eukaryota; Metazoa; Chordata; Mammalia; Primates; Galagidae.